RNAcentral lists this ribosomal RNA (253 nucleotides) under uncultured bacterium. RNAcentral's name for it is "partial 16S ribosomal RNA". It matches the Rfam family "Bacterial small subunit ribosomal RNA", at positions 524 to 776 of the family's 1533-position model. The record is from RNAcentral.
GACGUAGGGCGCGAGCGUUGUCCGGAUUUAUUGGGCGUAAAGAGCUCGUAGGCGGUUUGUCGCGUCGUUCGUGAAAACUCACAGCUUAACUGUGAGCUUGCGGUCGAUACGGGCAGGCUAGAGUUCGGUAGGGGAGACUGGAAUUCCUGGUGUAGCGGUGAAAUGCGCAGAUAUCAGGAGGAACACCGGUGGCGAAGGCGGUUCUCUGGGCCUUACCUGACGCUGAGGAGCGAAAGCGUGGGGAGCGAACAGG